UGCAAGUAGUGGGAAAGUCACCAGAAGUCCAUCCCCAGUUCCUCAAGAAGAGCACAGUGACCCUGAGAUGACUGAAGAGGAGAAAGAGUAUCAAAUGAUGUUGCUGACAAAAAUGCUUCUAACAGAAAUUCUGCUGGAUGUCACAGAUGAAGAAAUUUAUUACGUAGCCAAAGAUGCACACCGCAAAGCAACGAAAGAUGUGAUACAAAGCUCCUGCAAAACAGCUGGCACAGUCCAGUGCACUGGCUUCCCUCACUGGACUCGGUGGACUGGGUGGUUAUGGAUCAGGAGACAGUGAAGAUGAGAGGAGUGACAGAGGAUCUGAGUCAUCUGACACUGAUGAUGAAGAAUUACGGCAUCGAAUCCGGCAAAAACAGGAAGCUUUUUGGAGAAAAGAAAAAGAACAGCAGCUAUUACAUGAUAAACAGAUGGAAGAAGAAAAGCAGCAAACAGAAAGGGUUACAAAAGAGAUGAAUGAAUUUAUCCAUAAAGAGCAAAAUAGUUUAUCACUACUAGAAGCAAGAGAAGCAGACGGUGAUGUGGUUAAUGAAAAGAAGAGAACUCCAAAUGAAACCACAUCAGUUUUAGAACCAAAAAAAGAGCA
Molecule: long non-coding RNA, 604 nt
Filed under: Homo sapiens (human)
Lineage: Eukaryota; Metazoa; Chordata; Mammalia; Primates; Hominidae
Description: HSALNT0110455
Source: RNAcentral